UAGGGAAUCUUCGGCAAUGGGCGAAAGUCUGACCGAGCAACGCCGCGUGAGUGAAGAAGGUUUUCGGAUCGUAAAACUCUGUUGGUAGAGAAGAACGUUGGUGAGAGUGGAAAGCUCAUCAAGUGACGGUAACUACCCAGAAAGGGACGGCUAACUACGUGCCAC
This 165-nucleotide ribosomal RNA is filed under the name uncultured bacterium. RNAcentral describes it as "partial 16S rRNA". It matches the Rfam family "Bacterial small subunit ribosomal RNA", at positions 355 to 511 of the family's 1533-position model. The record is from RNAcentral.